UAUGAAAAUUCUCUCUACGAAUGAUCACUCGCAUUGAAAACAAUCGACUGUACUAUUCACCCAACAACCCCCUCAUCAUGAAAAUCUCCGUUAUUUUUGUGUUCCUGGCGAUGAUGUUGGCGGCUGUUGCCGGAGAGGUUUGCAAAGGACGCGGCAUUGGAUGUUCGAGAGAUCGACAGUGUUGCUCGGGUUUCUGCCGCCGUACAAAAUGUGCCUAAGGAUAUGCCGGAUAAAAUGUCCUGAUGUAACCGAGAUAGGCAGAAGUAUCAUUUCUCAAGGAUCUUUUCAAGACACAAUAUCGUUAUGACUAUUCUAUCUAUAAAUUAUACCCCCAAUCUCUAUUGAUUUGUAACGGAUUAUUGAUCUGAAAUACACGUAUUGAGGCAUAUCAAA
Molecule: long non-coding RNA, 393 nt
Organism: Diachasmimorpha longicaudata
Lineage: Eukaryota; Metazoa; Arthropoda; Insecta; Hymenoptera; Braconidae
Exons: 3
Source: RefSeq, a predicted model, not a curated record